GGCCGAUUAGCUCAGUUGGUUAGAGCGUGGUGCUAAUAACGCCAAGGUCGUCGGUUCGACCCCGGCAUUGGCCA
Molecule: non-coding RNA, 74 nt
Organism: Pleurotus ostreatoroseus
Lineage: Eukaryota; Fungi; Basidiomycota; Agaricomycetes; Agaricales; Pleurotaceae
Source: the annotation of a GenBank genome assembly